AGUGAACGCUGGCGGUAGGCCUAACACAUGCAAGUCGAACGGCAGCACAGUAAGAGCUUGCUCUUACGGGUGGCGAGUGGCGGACGGGUGAGGAAUACAUCGGAAUCUACUUUUUCGUGGGGGAUAACGUAGGGAAACUUACGCUAAUACCGCAUACGACCUACGGGUGAAAGCAGGGGAUCUUCGGACCUUGCGCGAUUGAAUGAGCCGAUGUCGGAUUAGCUAGUUGGCGGGGUAAAGGCCCACCAAGGCGACGAUCCGUAGCUGGUCUGAGAGGAUGAGCAGCCACACUGGAACUGAGACACGGUCCAGACUACUACGGGAGGCAGCAGUGGGGAAUAUUGGACAAUGGGCGAAAGCCUGAUCCAGCCAUACCGCGUGGGUGAAGAAGGCCUUCGGGUUGUAAAGCCCUUUUGUUGGGAAAGAAAAGCAGCAGGUUAAUACCCCGCUGUUCUGACGGUACCCAAAGAAUAAGCACCGGCUAACUUCGUG
This 492-nucleotide ribosomal RNA is filed under the name uncultured bacterium. Its description in RNAcentral is "partial 16S ribosomal RNA". It matches the Rfam family "Bacterial small subunit ribosomal RNA", at positions 29 to 507 of the family's 1533-position model. The record is from RNAcentral.